ACCGGCACGAGGGUCGGGGUAGCUCUCUCCCUCCGGUGCCCUCCAGCCGCCGAGCUCCGGGCCGUGCAGAAGCCCCAUAUCGACGAGGUCACCAAGAGAUUUUGUGGUGCUGCGAGACUUCUUCCACUCCUUGGCCAUCAGUUCGGCCCUCUUCCUGGAGUCGCUCUUCGCCAUUAGAGGUGCGAAUAUGGGCUUGAGUUAGGAAGAUGCAGGAGAUUGGAGAAGAUGAGAGCGGAAGGUUUGAAGGCAAUGGCAGGGUAAGCGGUACAGGCGGACCUAUUAGGCUCUUAUCAGCCCGCAACUCCACCUCUCCCACUUCCUGUAUUCUCGGGAAGUGGGCAGGCCAUGCGGCGGACGCGGCGUUUCGGUUUACAAUGAUUAUAGACAAUUAAUGCGGCGGAUUUUUCGUACCAAUUGAUGGUUUCCUUUCUCAAACCAUGCAAAGGCGGUUGCACAAGUUGCCAGGCGCAACUUUUCAUGCAUCCGUCUGACACCACGUCAGGAGGCCUCGUCACGUCAAUUUUAACUGGGAAGAUCUUUUCAAAAAAAAAAAAAAACAAGACGACACAUACGCCAGAAAGUCAACAAUCCGGGGACUGCACCGACCAUCGGGCAUUCGACGCUCGGGGACUGGUCGCCCAGUCUAUCAGCUCGGAAUUUCAAGGACUGCGCCGACCACCGAGCACUCGACGCUCGGGGACUGGUCAUACAGUAUAUCAGCUCGGAACUUCAAGGACUGCGCC
This 743-nucleotide long non-coding RNA is filed under the name Sorghum bicolor (sorghum). RNAcentral describes it as "long non-coding RNA (SBIC_LNC012937)". Lineage: Eukaryota; Viridiplantae; Streptophyta; Magnoliopsida; Poales; Poaceae. The record is from RNAcentral.